UUAAGCGACUAAGCGUACACGGUGGGUGCCCUGGCAGUCAGAGGCGAUGAAGGACGUGCUAAUCUGCGAUAAGCGUCGGUAAGGUGAUAUGAACCGUUAUAACCGGCGAUUUCCGAAUGGGGAAACCCAGUGUGUUUCGACACACUAUCAUUAACUGAAUCCAUAGGUUAAUGAGGCGAACCGGGGGAACUGAAACAUCUAAGUACCCCGAGGAAAAGAAUCAACCGAGACUUCCCCCAGUAGCGGCGAGCGAACGGGGAGCAGCCCAGAGCCUGAAUCAGUGUGUGUGUUAGUGGAAGCGUCUGGAAAGGCGCGCGAUACAGGGUGACAGCCCCGUACACAAAAAUGCACAUGCUGUGAGCUCGAUGAGUAGGGCGGGACACGUGGUAUCCUGUCUGAAUAUGGGGGGACCAUCCUCCAAGGCUAAAUACUCUGACUGACCGAUAGUGAACCAGUACCGUGAGGGAAAGGCGAAAAGAACCCCGGCGGAGGGGAGUAGAAAAAGAACCUGAAACCGUGUACGUACAAGCAGUGGGAGCACGCUUAGGCGUGUGACUGCGUACCUUUUGUAUAAUGGGUCAGCGACUUAUAUUCUGUAGCAAGGUUAACCGAAUAGGGGAGCCGAAGGGAAACCGAGUCUUAACUGGGCGUUAAGUUGCAGGGUAUAGACCCGAAACCCGGUGAUCUAGCCAUGGGCAGGUUGAAGGUUGGGUAACACUAACUGGACGGACCGAACCGACUAAUGUUGAAAAAUUAGCGGAUGACUUGUGGCUGGGGGUGAAAGGCCAAGUCAAACCGGGAGAUAGCUGGUUCUCCCCGAAAGCUAUUUAGGUAGCGCCUCGUGAAUCCAUCUCCGGGGGUAGAGCACUGUUUCGGCAAGGGGGUCAUCCCGACUUACCAACCCGAUGCAAACUGCGAAUACCGGAGAAUGUUAUCACGGGAGACACACGGCGGGUGCUAACGUCCGUCGUGAAGAGGGAAACAACCCAGACCGCCAGCUAAGGUCCCAAAGUCAUGGUUAAGUGGGAAACGAUGUGGGAAGGCCCAGACAGCCAGGAUGUUGGCUUAGAAGCAGCCAUCAUUUAAAGAAAGCGUAAUAGCUCACUGGUCGAGUCGGCCUGCGCGGAAGAUGUAACGGGGCUAAACCAUGCACCGAAGCUGCGGCAGCGACGCUGAUGCGUUGUUGGGUAGGGGAGCGUUCUGUAAGCCUGUGAAGGUGUGCUGUGAGGCAUGCUGGAGGUAUCAGAAGUGCGAAUGCUGACAUAAGUAACGAUAAAGCGGGUGAAAAGCCCGCUCGCCGGAAGACCAAGGGUUCCUGUCCAACGUUAAUCGGGGCAGGGUGAGUCGACCCCUAAGGCGAGGCCGAAAGGCGUAGUCGAUGGGAAACAGGUUAAUAUUCCUGUACUUGGUGUUACUGCGAAGGGGGGACGGAGAAGGCUAUGUUGGCCGGGCGACGGUUGUCCCGGUUUAAGCGUGUAGGCUGGUUUUCCAGGCAAAUCCGGAAAAUCAAGGCUGAGGCGUGAUGACGAGGCACUACGGUGCUGAAGCAACAAAUGCCCUGCUUCCAGGAAAAGCCUCUAAGCAUCAGGUAACAUCAAAUCGUACCCCAAACCGACACAGGUGGUCAGGUAGAGAAUACCAAGGCGCUUGAGAGAACUCGGGUGAAGGAACUAGGCAAAAUGGUGCCGUAACUUCGGGAGAAGGCACGCUGAUAUGUAGGUGAAGUCCCUCGCGGAUGGAGCUGAAAUCAGUCGAAGAUACCAGCUGGCUGCAACUGUUUAUUAAAAACACAGCACUGUGCAAACACGAAAGUGGACGUAUACGGUGUGACGCCUGCCCGGUGCCGGAAGGUUAAUUGAUGGGGUCAGCGCAAGCGAAGCUCUUGAUCGAAGCCCCGGUAAACGGCGGCCGUAACUAUAACGGUCCUAAGGUAGCGAAAUUCCUUGUCGGGUAAGUUCCGACCUGCACGAAUGGCGUAAUGAUGGCCAGGCUGUCUCCACCCGAGACUCAGUGAAAUUGAACUCGCUGUGAAGAUGCAGUGUACCCGCGGCAAGACGGAAAGACCCCGUGAACCUUUACUAUAGCUUGACACUGAACAUUGAGCCUUGAUGUGUAGGAUAGGUGGGAGGCUUUGAAGUGUGGACGCCAGUCUGCAUGGAGCCGACCUUGAAAUACCACCCUUUAAUGUUUGAUGUUCUAACGUUGACCCGUAAUC
This 2215-nucleotide ribosomal RNA is filed under the name Escherichia coli DEC10F. RNAcentral describes it as "bacterial LSU rRNA". It matches the Rfam family "Bacterial large subunit ribosomal RNA", at positions 1 to 2240 of the family's 2925-position model. Lineage: Bacteria; Pseudomonadati; Pseudomonadota; Gammaproteobacteria; Enterobacterales; Enterobacteriaceae. The record is from RNAcentral.